This 23-nucleotide non-coding RNA is filed under the name Arabidopsis thaliana (thale cress). Lineage: Eukaryota; Viridiplantae; Streptophyta; Magnoliopsida; Brassicales; Brassicaceae. The record is from RNAcentral.
GUGCCAUAUAAACGGAUGUGGUA